CAGACGUUGGUAUACGUUAGCUGGUCGUUGGUUAGUGAACAAUAGUCAAACGCAGACCAAAAAAAUCGUAGUGCAGUAAAAGCCAAAUUUACCAUAAGCCAAAUUUCUCUCUGGGCGCUGGGCAUCUCGGCCGUCUUCCUCACUUCCUCUCAAAACCCAGAACGACUCUGCAGCUCUUCACAAAUCACAAUUGGUUCCACUCAAAUUGAAUAUGAGGGUUUCGGAUUCAAUACCGAAUCCGGAGUUCUUCUUAGCAUUCACCCCACGGAGCUCAAAUUCCCUUUGAACCUCCAAAUCCAAAGGAAGCUAUAAAGUGGUUUUAUCUUGCUUCUUUUCAGGGCUAUGUCCGAGCUCAAUACCAACUUGCAAUUUGUCUGUAUCAGGGACGUGGGGCAGAUCGUAACAUGAAAGAAGCGGUGAUGGCGUCAAAUAAGGCCUCAAGUGACGACAAUAGCGGAAGAAUGAAGAGAAGAAAACUCAGAGAAAUGCUUCCUGCCAACAAAGGCGAGACCAAUGAAUCAAUUCAUGUUAGUACCGGAUUUCACAUUAGUGUGUUUGAAGGUAUGUCUUUGUUGAAGUCUGAAGUAGCUGCGAUAAAGUCUGAUGUGGGGAGGCUUAGAUCAAUGCUGGGAUGUUUGGAACCCAAUAUUGAGACAUUGAGACAAAAAUUAAUUGAAGUACAAGAUUUAGCCUGUGAACUGAAAGUUGGUGGGAUUGAAGGUAUUGUUGGUGAGGUAAUACAUGUUGUGACAACAAUGUGGCCAAACACCAUGCAUAAGGUUGCUGAAAAUGUUAUACAACCCAUGGAGGAGAAUGGUGAGCACAAUUUGGUCGCUGACAUUCGCAAGGAGUCACGAAAGAGGAAAUUUUGGCUCAGCCAUCCAAUUUGGAAUUUUAGUCUCAGCCCUCCAUUAUCAUUGGACAGCCGUGUGAAGCACUGAAUAUGUGAGGAAAUCCCUGCAAAUGAGGUUGACCGUAUGGAAGAUAAGAGGGUGACAGGAAAAGGAAAGGAAAAAAAUGGCAUGGUGGAAGAGGCCAAACAUAGAAAAAGAAACAAGAAAUUUCCGUUGAUGGGAAAGAUAUCACCAAAGGAUUCUAAGGUCUUAAAGUUCUUGUUUAGGAAGCCAAGAAGAGAACAUAAGUCCAGGGAUGAAGUUGCCCGCAGUGGAGAGUUUGGGGUUUCCCAUGAGGAUAUCCAAUGUCUUUGGCCAAUAGUCCCAAUUUCUUCCAAGGUAUGUGACCGCACUACGCUUAUUUACUAUUGUGUCAAAAUCUAGUGCAAUCCACACACUGCACAUACAGCUGUAAUCUUAAUAUGUGAGAUGACUAAAAAUGAUUCAGGUCAUAAACAUUUGGACUGCGUACAUGUCUCAGACCAAGUCCAACUCAUGGUUCUUACCUACUUUCUUUGCAGUACAAAGAAAUUACCUUGGUGGCAAUAACUCUGUUAUUGUAUCUAUAAAUAAACAAUGUUGAUAAUGACUCCUAAGUUAAUGUCUUCGUGCAUAGGAACAAGCCGGGUCAAAUGAGGAUCCAUCCAAUGUACCUGUUUCAAUUGCAUCAACAAUAGUUGCUUGUGGGCUGCAAAGGUUCCAUAGGCGGUUGAAGCAUUGUGUUGAGAUAAUAAAGGGUGAAUUCGUUGUAUGGAUUUUGUUUUGCUUGUCAUGUGUAUAAUCCCUGGUGCUUUUGCAGAUUUUCAUCCCAUUGUAUGAUGAAAUGACCGACCAUUGGUUUUUGUUGGUUAUGAAACUAAAAGAGAAAAUUGCUGAGUUGUGGGAUAGUGUGGCAGAAUUCACAUAAUUGAAUAGACGACUUGAGCUAGCAAGAGCCACCAUGCUUCUACUGCAGACGGUGUUUGGAAGUGCAAUGAUGAAGUCCUCAGAUGUUUAUUACAAUUUUCCCUCAUUUCACCUCUCAUUUGCAGAGGGUAACCAAACCACAGACAACAAAUACGAUAGUGGGAUCUACAUCAUGAUGCAGAUGAAGUGUUAUUCGGAUAAGUGGUUUGAAGGCUAUAAUUCGGAAGAGAUGCAAUCUGCACUUGCACUCGAAAUAGUCAAUAAUUCGAGCAAUGAACUAUUGAAAUCGGUGAUGAGAGCUGCCAUGAAAGGUGAAGGUUGCGGAGAAGGUAUUUCUAAUGCUGCAGAGGCCACAAAAUCCAAUGCCGAGGCCACACAGUCCAAUGUUGACGUUGCAACUGACUGUGACACAACAACGGACAUUAUCCACGAGAAAGUUCCUAACGGUCAGAAAUGUCGCAGCCAUCGCAGGAGAAAAUCUCGAGUCUGAUGAUGAUUUGGACAGUAUUUAGUCAUCCGAAUUUGUAAUGACUGACAAACUCGGUUUCACUUGUGUCACCCUUCUACUUGCCAAUACCCAAUAGUGUACCACUCUCCAAAAGGGUUGAAGAAUUGGCCUAUGCUAUACAAUGUUGUCGAGAGAUCACAAAAGCAAUGUCAAGGCAGAUAAAACCAGAUCAUCUUGCACUUAGACUGGCUGUUUGAGUUCAGAUAUUUAAGAUACAGCUCCAUUAUUUGUAUUGGUUUUCUGUAUAUGUUCAAAUGAAGCAAAUUUAACUUGAAUGAGAUUAGUUUUCCUAUAAAUGAAAUCUGUUAUAUGUUUUGCAA
Long non-coding RNA from Rosa chinensis, 2627 nucleotides. RefSeq lists it as uncharacterized. NCBI's taxonomy places the organism in Eukaryota, Viridiplantae, Streptophyta, Magnoliopsida, Rosales, Rosaceae. The record is from RefSeq and is a predicted model, not a curated record. The transcript is spliced from 7 exons.